CAAGGAGACCAUGAGUGCAGCAGGUAGCAGGAGGGAAAAGUCACGUUGGAAUCUCCCUGAGAGCUCAGAGACCCUGCCAGAUGCAGAAAGCUUCCUUCAUGGCAGCACAAAUAGUUUCCAUUUCCCAGUCAAGAGCCAGCAUCCAAGACGAGCUUCUGAUUUGACACUGAAUGAAACAAAAGAUGGCCCAGAACUCAAUGGAAGCCAGGAAAUGGAGGCGCAAUUGCCAGAAAAUCUCUGCAACAUCCCAGAAAUCCCCAUGGGCAGAGAAGGCAGUUAAAGGUCUAAAAAAAAAUGACUUAAUCCUUCUUGAAGUCUCUCAGCACCAAGCAGGCAAUAACCGUGUCCCAUUCAUCUUUGGGUUUCUCCAGUCUUUGGGACACAAAGGUCAGAGCUCACCCACUCUGGCCAACAGAGCUGCAGAAGCAAAGACUGAAUCAAAAGGAUGUGCAAUGGGAUGAAGUUUGACUUUCUUCUCUGAAGAAGAAAAACAGUAUUUUACAAACAAGGUGGAAACAUUGGGAACCCUCCAGGAUUCUUAGCUGUGAACUUCUGGAAA
RNAcentral lists this long non-coding RNA (559 nucleotides) under Bos indicus x Bos taurus (hybrid cattle). RNAcentral's name for it is "lncRNA (ENSBIXG00005003557.1)". Lineage: Eukaryota; Metazoa; Chordata; Mammalia; Artiodactyla; Bovidae. The record is from RNAcentral.